UUGGAGGGCAAGUCUGGUGCCAGCAGCCGCGGUAAUUCCAGCUCCAAUAGCGUAUAUUAAAGUUGUUGCAGUUAAAAAGCUCGUAGUUGAAUUUCGAGAUCAGUACGCUGGUCGUGCCUUCGGUAUGCACUGGUGUCACUGGUUUCUCCCUUCUGAAGAACCGUCAUGCCAUUCAGUUGGUGUGGCGGGGAAUCAGGACUGUUACUUUGAAAAAAUUAGAGUGUUUAAAGCAGGCUCGCGCUUGAAUACAUUAGCAUGGAAUAAUGCAAUAGGACGUUUGACCCUAUUUUGUUGGUUUCUAGGAUCGACGUAAUGAUUAAUAGGGAUAGUUGGGGGCAUUAGUAUUCAAUUGUCAGAGGUGAAAUUCUUGGAUUUAUUGAAGACUGACUACUGCGAAAGCAUUUGCCAAGGAUGUUUUCAUUAAUCAAGAACGAAAGUUAGGGGAUCGAAGACGAUCAGAUACCGUCGUAGUCUUAACCAUAAACUAUGCCGACUAGGGAUCGGAUGAUGUUAAUUUUUUAAUGACUCAUUCGGCGCCUUACGGGAAAC
This 549-nucleotide ribosomal RNA is filed under the name uncultured Glomus. Its description in RNAcentral is "SSU rRNA". It matches the Rfam family "Eukaryotic small subunit ribosomal RNA", at positions 548 to 1098 of the family's 1831-position model. Lineage: Eukaryota; Fungi; Glomeromycota; Glomeromycetes; Glomerales; Glomeraceae. The record is from RNAcentral.